This 20-nucleotide small nuclear RNA is filed under the name Arabidopsis thaliana (thale cress). Its description in RNAcentral is "snRNA_16281". The record is from RNAcentral. Lineage: Eukaryota; Viridiplantae; Streptophyta; Magnoliopsida; Brassicales; Brassicaceae.
GAAAAUGGGUAUAAGUGUUG